UACGGAGAGGGCUAGCGUUGUUCGGAAUUACUGGGCGUAAAGGGUACGUAGGCGGUUUAGUAAGUUAGGAGUGAAAUCCUGGGGCUUAACCUCAGAAUUGCUUUUAAAACUACUAUACUAGAGGUCGAAAGAGGAUAGUGGAAUUCCUAAUGUAGAGGUAAAAUUCGUAGAUAUUGGGAAGAACACCGGUGGCGAAGGCGGCGACCUGGUCCUUUUACUGACGCUGAGGCGCGAAAGCGUGGGGAGCAAACAGG
RNAcentral lists this ribosomal RNA (254 nucleotides) under uncultured bacterium. RNAcentral's name for it is "partial 16S ribosomal RNA". It matches the Rfam family "Bacterial small subunit ribosomal RNA", at positions 524 to 776 of the family's 1533-position model. The record is from RNAcentral.